This 780-nucleotide ribosomal RNA is filed under the name uncultured bacterium. RNAcentral describes it as "bacterial SSU rRNA". It matches the Rfam family "Bacterial small subunit ribosomal RNA", at positions 57 to 800 of the family's 1533-position model. The record is from RNAcentral.
GCAAGUCGAACGAGUUCUCGUUGAUGAUCGGUGCUUGCACCAAGAUUGAACAUGCCAACGAGUGGCGGACGGGUGAGUAACACGUGGGUAACCUGCCCUUAAGUGGGGGAUAACAUUUGGAAACAGAUGCUAAUACCGCAUAGAUCCAAGAACCGCAUGGUUCUUGGCUGAAAGAUGGCGUAAGCUAUCGCUUUUGGAUGGACCCGCGGCGUAUUAGCUAGUUGGUGAGGUAAUGGCUCACCAAGGCGAUGAUACGUAGCCGAACUGAGAGGUUGAUCGGCCACAUUGGGACUGAGACACGGCCCAAACUCCUACGGGAGGCAGCAGUAGGGAAUCUUCCACAAUGGACGCAAGUCUGAUGGAGCAACGCCGCGUGAGUGAAGAAGGCUUUCGGGUCGUAAAACUCUGUUGUUGGAGAAGAAUGGUCGGCAAAGUAACUGUUGUCGGCGUGACGGUAUCCAACCAGAAAGCCACGGCUAACUACGUGCCAGCAGCCGCGGUAAUACGUAGGUGGCAAGCGUUAUCCGGAUUUAUUGGGCGUAAAGCGAGCGCAGGCGGUUUUUUAAGUCUGAUGUGAAAGCCCUCGGCUUAACCGAGGAAGCGCAUCGGAAACUGGGAAACUUGAGUGCAGAAGAGGACAGUGGAACUCCAUGUGUAGCGGUGAAAUGCGUAGAUAUAUGGAAGAACACCAGUGGCGAAGGCGGCUGUCUGGUCUGUAACUGACGCUGAGGCUCGAAAGCAUGGGUAGCGAACAGGAUUAGAUACCCUGGUAGUCCAUGC